GACAAUGGGGGCAACCCUGAUCCAGCCAUGCCGCGUGCGUGAAGAAGGCCUUAGGGUUGUAAAGCGCUUUCACCGAUGAAGAUGAUGACGGUAAUCGGAGAAGAAGCACCGGCUAACUUCGUGCCAGCAGCCGCGGUAAUACGAAGGGUGCAAGCGUUGUUCGGAAUUACUGGGCGUAAAGGGCGUGUAGGCGGCUCGGUUAGUUAGAUGUGAAAGCCCAGGGCUCAACCUUGGAACUGCAUUUAAUACUGCCGAGCUAGAAUCCAGGAGGGGACAGUGGAAUUCCGAGUGUAGAGGUGAAAUUCGUAGAUAUUCGGAAGAACACCAGUGGCGAAGGCGACUGUCUGGACUGGUAUUGACGCUGAGGCGCGAAAGCGUGGGGAGCAAACAGGAUUAGAUACCCUGGUAGUCCACGCUGUAAACGAUGUCUGCNUAGCCGUCGGGGUACUUAGUACUUCGGCGGCGGAGUUAACGCAUAAGCAGACCGCCUGGGCAGUACG
This 500-nucleotide ribosomal RNA is filed under the name uncultured Alphaproteobacteria bacterium. RNAcentral describes it as "bacterial SSU rRNA". It matches the Rfam family "Bacterial small subunit ribosomal RNA", at positions 367 to 884 of the family's 1533-position model. The record is from RNAcentral. Lineage: Bacteria; Pseudomonadati; Pseudomonadota; Alphaproteobacteria.